AAAAAAAAAAAAAGGAAAAAGAACACAAAACUAUAAUUGUUACUCAGAUUCCAUUUCAAAGAAAAUCUUCAUGCCAGCACUUUGUUCAACAUAUCUCAGCCACAAGGCAAAUAUAUGCUGACUAAAUUUUACUUUCAAGGUGUGGUUGAGAGAUAGGUGGUGGUUGAGAAACCUCCUAAAAAGAUCCAUAUACACUGGGGUGAAUUCAUCUUUGUCCAAGAAUGUAAGCAUUGUACCAAAUGUAACCUAAUGUAACGAGACACUCUGAGCCUUGCUGGAUGGUUUAACUAGACAAGUGUUCUGGGAAGCCACAUAAUGACAACCAAAUACAGAACCAAACCAUGCACUUUUUGGGAGUUUUCAGAUUUUGUUUUUGUUUUUUUCUUCUGUUAGGGAGCAGAAGCCUCUCUAGUAGAACUCUCCAAUGGAUUCUGUCAAACCUUUCAAUACAACUACAGCAUAUAUUUUCUGCCUGACAACUCAAUGCUGAACUCGCAUUAAGAUGACUGAGAGUGGAAUAUCCAUUCCUUCCAGGAAAAGAUGACCCCAUAAUCAGAGAUGUGGUUUGAUCUUCUGCAAUGCCAACAAUCAGACUUCAUAUUCACUCCCCAACAUCUGAGUCAUAACUUUGAGAAUAUAA
Cercocebus atys (sooty mangabey) is the source of this 640-nucleotide long non-coding RNA. RefSeq lists it as uncharacterized. The transcript is spliced from 2 exons. Lineage: Eukaryota; Metazoa; Chordata; Mammalia; Primates; Cercopithecidae. The record is from RefSeq and is a predicted model, not a curated record.